AUGAGGGCUGUCAUCCACCUGCCAGGUGACGUGACUUGGGCUGGGCUGACCUGGGCUGAGCUGAGCUGGGCUGAGCUGGGCUGUGCUGGACUAAGCUGGACUAAGCUGGACUUGAGCUGGGCCGGACUGGUUGAUGUGAACAGUGUCUUCUGGACUCUCUGGGAACUGCCAACGACUGCGGCCUCUCCCAGGCUCUUCCCACUGAUCCACCCUAGAUGUGCAUUAAAAGACACUUCAGCGACCGUGAUCGCCGGCUGCCUGAUCCGGGGCUUCUUCCCCCUGGGCCCUCUGAGUGUGAGCUGGAACGCCAGCGGGAAGAACGUGACCUUCCCACCCGUCCCGUCUGGCACUUCAGGCCCGUACACCACGUGCAGCCUGCUGAGCCUAACACCGGAGCAGUGUCCUGAGGAUGACAAUGUGGUCUGCCACGUGGAGCACAACUAUGACAAGGGCCAGAAUCUGACUGUGCUCUACCCAGAAUGCCAACCGCCAACUCCUAGUCCUACAACUCCAACCACCUGCCCCUGCCCCUGCCCCUCCCCCUCCUGUGGGGAGCCCAGCCUGUCCCUGCAGCGGCCAGACCUCGGGGACCUGCUCCUGAACUCGAACGCCAGCCUCACCUGCACCCUGAGAGGCCUGUUGGACCCCGAGGGCGCCGUCUUCACCUGGGAGCCCACAUUUGGGAAGGAACCCGUCCAGCUGAGUCCCAAGCUUGACCACUGCGGCUGCUACAGUGUGUCCAGCGUGCUGCCCGGCUGUGCGGCGGCCUGGAAUGCAGGGACAAAGUUCAACUGCACAGUCACCCACCCUGAGAUAAAGGGCGUCUCCCUAACAGACAUAAUCAGCAAAGACACAGGUGUCGUCAUCGCGCCCCAGGUCCAUCUGCUGCCGCCACCAUCAGAGGAGCUGGCCCUCAACGCGCUGGUGACACUGACCUGCCUGGUGCGGGGCUUCAGCCCCAAGGACGUGCUGGUGUACUGGACGAACAAAGGCGUGAAUGUCCCUGAAAACAGCUUCCUGGUGUGGGAGCCCCUGCCUGAGCCCGGCCAGGAACCCACAACCUACGCCGUCACCAGCCUGCUGCGCGUGCCGGCCGAGGACUGGAACCAGAAUGAAAGCUACACCUGCGUGGUGGGCCAUGAGGGCCUGGCCGAGCACUUCACCCAGAAGACCAUCGACCGCCUGUCGGGUAAACCCACCCACGUCAACGUGUCUGUGGUCGUGGCAGACGUGGAAGGCGUGUGCUACUGAGCCCCAUGGCCCUGCCCUGAAUAAACUCCGUGCUCGCCCCCAGCA
Molecule: non-coding RNA, 1296 nt
Organism: Oryctolagus cuniculus (rabbit)
Lineage: Eukaryota; Metazoa; Chordata; Mammalia; Lagomorpha; Leporidae
Source: the annotation of a RefSeq genome assembly